UGAGUACGAGCUGCUACGGCAGCGAAGUGGGUGACGUCAAGCUUCCAAGAAAAGCCCUACACCCGUUAAGGCAUGAUGGCCUGUACCCGAAACCGACACAGGUAGGAUGGUAGAGAAUACCGAGGGGCGCGAGGUAACUCUCUCUAAGGAACUCGGCAAAAUGGCCCCGUAACUUCGGGAGAAGGGGUGCCACCGCAAGGUGGUCGCAGUGAAGAGGCCCAGGCGACUGUUUACCAAAAACACAGGUCUCCGCUAAGUCGCAAGACGAUGUAUGGGGGCUGACGCCUGCCCAGUGCCGGAAGGUUAAGGAAGCUGGUCAGCGCAAGCGGAGCUGGCGACUGAAGCCCCGGUGAACGGCGGCCGUAACUAUAACGGUCCUAAGGUAGCGAAAUUCCUUGUCGGGUAAGUUCCGACCCGCACGAAAGGCGUAACGAUCUGGGCGCUGUCUCGGAGAGAGGCUCGGCGAAAUAGAAUUGUCUGUGAAGAUGCGGACUACGUGCACCCGGACAGAAAGACCCUAUGAAGCUUUACUGUAGCUUGGUAUUGUGCCCGGGCUCUGAAUGCGCAGGAUAGGUGGGAGGCUUUGAUCAACAGCUUGCGGGUUGUUGUGAGCCAACGGUGAGAUACCACUCUUUCAGAGCUAGGGUUCUAACGGUCACCCGUUAUCCGGGGACCGGACAGUAUCAGGUGGGCAGUUUGACUGGGGCGGUCGCCUCCUAAAAGGUAACGGAGGCGCGCAAAGGUUUGCUCAGGCUGGUUGGAAAUCAGCCGACGAGUGUAAAAGCAGAAGCAAGCUUGACUGUGAGACCUACAAGUCGAACAGGGACGAAAGUCGGCUUUAGUGAUCCGACGGUUCUGAGUGGAAGGGCCGUCGCUCAACGGAUAAAAGUUACUCUAAGGAUAACAGGCUGAUCUCCCCCAAGAGUUCACAUCGACGGGGAGGUUUGGCACCUCGAUGUCGGCUCAUCGCAACCUGGGGCUGAAGUCGGUCCCAAGGGUUGGGCUGUUCGCCCAUUAAAGCGGUACGCGAGCUGGGUUCAGAACGUCGUGAGACAGUUCGGUCCAUAUCCGGUGCAUGCGCAGGAAUAUUGAGAGGAGUUCUCCCUAGUACGAGAGGACCGGGAGGAACGCACCUCUGGUGUACCAGUUAUCGUGCCAACGGUAAACGCUGGGUAGCCAUGUGCGGAGAGGAUAACCGCUGAAAGCAUCUAAGUGGGAAGCCCACCUCAAGAUGAGUAUUCCCAUGGCAUAAGCCAGUAAGGUCACGGGAAGAACACCCGUUGAUAGGCUCUACGUGGAAGCGCAGUAAUGCGUGAAGCGGAGGAGUACUAAUAGACCGAGGGCUUGACC
RNAcentral lists this ribosomal RNA (1350 nucleotides) under metagenome. RNAcentral describes it as "bacterial LSU rRNA". It matches the Rfam family "Bacterial large subunit ribosomal RNA", at positions 1564 to 2925 of the family's 2925-position model. The record is from RNAcentral.